GGUUACUUUCUCAGCUGUAACCAGGAGGCAGGGAAGAAGGCAAUGCAGUCCUCAUUCUUUAGAGACUCAACCUGUGUCCCCAGCCCUCCCCAUCUCCUCCCACAACCCCCUCCAAACUCAGCUUGGCUGGGAAAGGAAACUCCCCAGUCUGCUGUGCUCCUGCAAGCUGAGUGUUUGCAGGUGAAUCUACUCCAGGCCGUGAGCGCCCCAGAGGUGGGAACUAUAUCUUAGUCACCCUUGUACUUUCAAGCCUCACAAUGGGACCUGCCCAAAAAAGGGCACUCAGUAAACGUCUUGUGAACGCGUGAAUUGGGCAGCUGUUGGUGUACGUGUUUUGUUUCUGAUGCUGAGACCCUUCCUGAACCGGAUCUCCAUUCCUUCACUGAGCAGGGUUCACACAUAUUUAUGUUGGAGUGCAAAGGCUUCCGAUGCCCGGACAUGUGUCCUCCAAUCUGAGAAGGGAACCAGGGAAGGGGCUGGAGUUGAUGCAUCUUGACUUAAGGGCUGGAGAGUUGGCAAUUUUGGAGGCCAGUGAAGAGCCACGUAGAAAAUGUCCCGCUGCCUGCCAUCAC
RNAcentral lists this non-coding RNA (572 nucleotides) under Pan troglodytes (chimpanzee). Lineage: Eukaryota; Metazoa; Chordata; Mammalia; Primates; Hominidae. The record is from RNAcentral.